UGCCAGACUCCUACGGGAGGCAGCAGUCGAGAAUCAUUCACAAUGGGGGAAACCCUGAUGGUGCGACGCCGCGUGGGGGAAUGAAGGUCUUCGGAUUGUAAACCCCUGUCAUGUGGGAGCAAAUUAAAAAGAUAGUACCACAAGAGGAAGAGACGGCUAACUCCGUGCCAGCAGCCGCGGUAAUACGGGGGAUGCAAGCGUUAUCCGGAUUUAUUGGGUUUAAAGGGUGCGUAGGCUGUGAGGUAAGUCGGCGGUGAAAUGCCCCCGCUCAACGGGGUGAAGUGCCAUUGAUACUGCCUUGCUGGAAUGCGGAUGCCGUGGGAGGAAUGUGUGGUGUAGCGGUGAAAUGCAUAGAUAUCACACAGAACACCGAUUGCGAAGGCAUCUCACGAAUCCGCGAUUGACGCUGAUGCACGAAAGCGUGGGUAUCAAACAGGAUUAGAUACCCCCGUA
RNAcentral lists this ribosomal RNA (453 nucleotides) under uncultured bacterium. RNAcentral's name for it is "bacterial SSU rRNA". It matches the Rfam family "Bacterial small subunit ribosomal RNA", at positions 329 to 792 of the family's 1533-position model. The record is from RNAcentral.